CGGCGGCGGAAAGGCGCCCCGGGAGCGGCGGCGCCGCGGGGCCGCGCACGGCCGGGAGCGCGGCCCCGGGCAGCUCCCGGCGCGGCCCCGCGCCCACCUGCCGCAGGCCGCGGACGGGGCGCGCCCCGCGGGGAACGGGCGGUUGGCCGCCGCGCCGGCACCCUCGGGAGCUACAGGUGUCCGCUCCCCACGGGCACCGCUCCCCGCGGUGUCCAGCCACCGGUACCGUCCCGCUGCCUCCGCGCGCCUUCUGCGGCGACUUUGGCCAGGCACAAAUAACUACCAAUGCGCGUGCGGAGGGGUGUCGAUACGCACCGUCUGAUCGGCUCGUGUGAAAGCCAGAAAAGCCUCCUAAAUCAUCACAGCCGUAAAUAAGUCAGUUAAAAUGUAUGGUCUGUAGAAAGAGGAAUUAUUUAAACAUUUAUACUUAGCCAGAAUUUCCAUCAACUUCUCUUCGUUUUCCUUUCAGGAUGUAUUUGGUGAUUAUAAAGCAGUUCAGCUAGAACAGCAUUCUUCGGCUCUGCAUUUUGAUUAUCAAAAGCAGAAUGAAUGUAAUAGUGGCUUUUCAAGGACAGUAAUUAGUUUAUUUUCAAGUAAUUGGCAACAUUAACCUACUUCAGCCAUCCAAGUGUAAGCUAUAAUGCUUUUAAACAUGGAUUUUAUAUAGAAGCUGUGUUGGAAUUAUAAAGUGAAGAUUUAGAAUAUAUGUUCCUUUUGUCUGUGAAUUUCUACUUUUUCUCUCAUCUUUGAAAGAAGAUUUUAUGAAACAUGAUAUUGAGGGUAGUAAGAUGAUGGGGUAGAGCAGAAUACUUGAGACUAUCAUUGUUAGUAGGAAGAGACUUGUUUUCGAGUAAAGUGAAAAUAAUUUCUAGUUUAUUGUACUAAUAACAAAUUUAGAAAAAUGACAGGUAUUUCUCUAUAAUGUGUCAACUUUAGUCUGAAAUACAGUGAAACAGAUAAAUAAUAACUUGUUACAUACUUUGAGAAGAAAUCUUAAUAGAUAUUUUGAGUGCUGGGUCUUAUUACUGUUAUUCUGUGUCAUUUUAUAGACACUUAGAAAAGGUGCUUCUUACCUGCUUGAUAAAUAGUUCAUAAAAUAUUAAUAAAAUCAAUUAGUAUCUGUUAGGAAUUCCUGCUGUCAAGAAAGUGAAGGAGGGUGUAUUGCAACUGGGCUAUAAUGUUCUCUUUUGAUUAGUCUGAAAAUUACCCACUCUAUAAGCAAUGACUCUGUUGAUUUGGCAUAUCUUACAAAGAUAUUUUACUUACAAAUUGAAUCUUGGAAGGCUGUGGUUCCAGAGUCGGGGUUUUGGGGGCGAGAUGAGCUUAUGUUUUAUCCAACUGGCCCACAAAGUCCCGCUUUUGGUGGUCACUUUGUUCUGCAAAAGAAAACAGCACAUUAUGGCUCUUACAAUGGACAGUAAAGUUAGUAGUAAACUACUGCUGCACUUAGUAAAGGGCUAUUAUACACUUUAAAUAAAUAAUAAUGUUCUAUCUUUAAUGUUGUCUUCAGCAAUAAAAAAGUGGAUAGAAAAUAAAAUAAAUCUGAAACCUAAACAUAAAACUUUUCUAACUGUUGGUGGUGGUUUUCUCUUAAAAAGCCAGAAAAAGCUGAAGAAAAAGUCACCUUUCAAAGGAUGGUCAUGCAAUACAGGUGAAUUGGGAGAAAAGAUGGUCCCUAAAAAGGAGAGGCAGUUUAUACCUUGAAAAAAUCUUUUAAACACUGGUAGCAUUUGUAUUGUCAAUCCCUACCUCUUUUUUUUUUUUUAUCCCCAACAAAGUAUUCCGUUGCAAAGUAUCUCUUGAACAUUUGAACAUUCCUUUCUGUGUGUCUAUGUGUGUCUAUAUGUUUAUGGUCUUUAUGAGUCAAUUUAAAGAUUGCUAAUUUUUGUACUGGUAUAAGUUGUAGAAUAUAUUAUUGUAAGGCAGUGUAAACCUGAGCUUGCUAGAGAGAGCUGUUUAAGUUCAUGCUACUAUUUGAAUUUUGGUAUCAAUAUCCUAAAGAAUUGAAGUAUUAUUUUUACUUAAAAUUUACAUAACUGUACUUUCCUCAUGGGAUUCUAGAAAGUGUUGAAAACACUGGUAGAGGUACUGAACUUUCUCAUGGUUGCAAAUACACUGCACAGAUAUUUACCACUGAAUGAACACAUGAUACAACUUGUAAUUUAUACAAUGUUUCACAUAUACAGCAUAUUCAUACAACAUACAUGCAGGAGCUCAGCUGGUGUAAAUGUGUCUGUGAUAUUUUUGACAUUUAAUGCCAGCUUAAGCUACACGUAAACAUCCAGACAUUCACAUUGUGAUCACAUUGUCACUGCAGUCAGGUUAAUUUUAAGAGUUGACCUAUACAGACUAAAUCAAUUUGAGUAUUUCAAAAAGGCCUGGAAAUUCAGCUGAAGUGAGACAGUGACACACUGUUAAAGCAAAGUUGUUGGCAUGUAAUUUAUCUGAUGACUAUAUGCAGGAUCUGUAUGUUUUUGUAAAUGAAUAUCAGGAUGAGUUAUCAAAUUUUUCUCCAGAAUUCUCACAUUUUACAUUUUAUAUCAAUAUAAUUGCAGAAAAAGUGAAAUAGGAUGUAUCCAAACCUCAGUGCAACAAAUUUCUCACUUGUUGAAGACUGAAAUCUGAUUUGGAGGAUCUUAGGUCAGAACUGUGGUGCCAAUAUCCUUUUUAGCUAAUAUUUUCCAUGAAAAUAAUACUGUUCAGAAGCAGCAUUUAUGAAAGGUUAAAUUCAAUUAAGCCAAUUAGGUUAAAAAUUUAACCGUAGAAAUUUUUUAUUUUUGACUUAUACUAACUAGAGUAUAUUAGUACUUAGUUUGUGAAUACAUUCCAGACUUGUCCAGUCUUCCUAGUUGUCAGAUUUGGAUUGGUUUCAUUCCUGUGGUCUCUCCUCUAGUAUUCUGAGAAUGUAAGAGCAGAGAAUCAGAGAUGAGAAAGUGGAUCAAUGUGAGGAUCUCGCUUUAAGGGAAAAGAGAAACACAUCCAAACAUCAGCAAAGAUCAGCUCUGUUCUGCUGAAAUACCACAGUUGCUUCAUACCAACUGUUACUUAAAAGCUCUUAAAUUAAAACGUAAUUUUGUACAGCUACUUCCAGUAAAAUGUAAAGAUCACACUUUGUAAAUCAGCUAUUUUUAGAUUAUUUUUUAAAAUAGAUUCUAUCUGGCUCUCUACUGAGGAUAUAUAAAAUUCACUUGCAUUCCUUCUAGCACCAGGAACCUAGCUAUAGGAUUAAUACACUAUUUAAAUGAUUAAUGAGCAGUGUUAAAGAACACAGUUACGCUUCUGUAGGCCUUCCUCAUACAAUAUUUUUAUUCACAUUUUUUCCCCAUCAAUAAAUUUUACAGAAAGAGGUCCUGUUUGUCUCUGGUGUGCAGUAAAACAAUUUUUCUGCCGCUAUAGAUAUCAUGCAUAUAUUUUAAACUUUAUAUGUAUGUGCAUUUUGUAUGUGUUACUUAAAUUAAUGAUGAUUAGACAAAACAUUGAUAGAUUUCCUAAACAGCCGUGUUAUAAAAAUUUGAUCUCUUUCCCUCAGACUGGUUUUCCCAGCAGGUUUGUGUGCAGCUUGGGGUGCUGGCCUCAGGGCUGAGACUCCUGAAGUGAACUGUGUAUCCACAGUAUUAAUAAUUAAAUACCUGGGAUCAGUCUAUCUUGCUAUUUUAUAUGAAAAAAGGAAUUUACAGAAGAUAAAAAGUAGAUGGUAUGUUUGUAAUAAAAAUUAAUUUUUCUUCAGAUAAAAAUGUCAUUAAUUAUUGAAAAAAAUUUAGAAAUAUCAACCCCAAUUAUUUAUUGCAUUUAUAAUUUACAAAAUUGAAAGUCCUACUAGCUAUCUUUCUAUUUAGAAUAAAUUUAAAAAUACAGUUUUAGAAUUACUUUUCUGCAUUUUUAAGCAAACCUUUAAAAAAAUAGCUCACAAACACACUGAAUCAGCAGAGGAUUACCACAUGGCCUAAUCUGUUUACUUUUGAAAUUUUAUUGAAAGCAGUGAAAAGAUCAGGAUCUCCACCGGAGUCCUGUGGCAUGGUCUGGGGCCUGUAUUUUCUGAAGCAAGGCCUCAACCUUUGACACCUCCUGAUCCCGUGUUGCAACAGAAAGUUUUGUGACUCCCCUCAGAUCCAGCCACAGAAAAAGAGACAGAGAGCAAGCAGCAGCAAAUAUUCUGUGGAGUUCUGCAGUAUUAAGGACCAGUGAAGGGAGCACUCCUUGAACUACAAAUUGUAUCACCUUUAUACAGAAGACUUAAUGUGAACAGAGGGGAGAUUUUUGUACAAGUCUUUUGGAGGAUCUGCUAGUCACAAUUCUUUGUAAAGAAUACUGUAAUAGAUUUGAGCAUUAAACUUGAUCUAAUUAUCUAUUUUUCCUGUGUUACAAUCUUAUUUUACAUGUACUCUUUCAACGAUACCCACAUUUUUUUCUCCCAGUAUAUGCAAUCAUUCAUAUAAUUUCUUCCAUGAAUAACUUGUUGAUUGAACAGCUGAUUCUUGCAUAUACGCCUAUUUAUAUACAUACAGGUGGUAGGAAAAGUUAGAUUCCUUCUGAAUGUGUGCUCUGUAACUAUAUAAAAAUACAUUUAUCAUAUGACACUACUUUAAAGAAAAAUAUAUGCUUAGACCAUGUAAUCCUGAGAUUCAAUUCAAGGAUCAGGAUCAAAAUAAGUAACAUGAUACUCCAGUCCAUUUUACAUCUAAUAGGCAUCACCUGGCAUUUAAUUAUCUUUUUUUUUUUUUUUACACAGUUUUAUCACUGAAAAAUAAGCAUUAUAAAAUGAGAGUAAAGCAUAAGAUUUGAGAUGUGUACUUAAAUUUCUGAAUUCAAAUACUUGCUUCAAAUUGUUUAAGUAUUUAAAUAAUUUUGGUAUGAAACAGUAUGUCACAAAAAUCUUUGGAUCUGAUAUAGCUUCAGAGAAAGGACUGCAAAACUCAUCUGUAAAACUGUCCAAUGCAGCUGAUAGCACAUUGGAAAUAGGCUGUGAGUAGGGCUCAGUGUCAAACAAUUUGUAAAAGAUAAUAUUUUUUCUCUGUUUUCUUAAAUAUUAGCAAAGCACAGAUUUCUCUUAGCCUCUUCUGACAGAUUUUAGUUUCUUUUAAUUAUAAGGCCAAAAGACAUUAACAGGAACAAAAAAAUUGCUCCAUGAAUAAAUCGCCACUACUACACUUCUCAAUUAUAUUAAACUGUUUCAGACUUUGUUAAUUUGUUGCCAUUUAUGGCUGCUUAAAGAUGUGUAAAUAGUUUUAUUUUUCCUUAACUUUUGAAUGUGUACAAUUUUGUUCCCAUAUUUAAGUAAUUAGUGCCAAGAUUCUGAGUGAAGUGGAUCUUUAUAAUUGUAUUAUCAACAAGUGCAAAUGUCAGUUAUGAAAUCCAUGGCUGACACAAUUUCAGCUAUAGCUGGAAGAAAACUGUUGUACAUACACGUCUGCAACACAAGGAAUCAAUGAGUGUGAAUAAAAUCAUUAAAAGAACCACAUAUUUUAUAAUCAGACUUUCAUCAAGAUACGACAUAUUUUAUACUUAAAAAACUAAAAUAGAAUCUGCAAUGUUUGGAGAGUAUUAAUUUAUUCAGUAGUUAGACUUAACAGGUGAGAUUACCCAGUGAAUAAUUGACUGAAAAACUGGAAUUCUUAAUCAAAAUUACUUUUUUGUUGA
Taeniopygia guttata (zebra finch) is the source of this 5637-nucleotide non-coding RNA. NCBI's taxonomy places the organism in Eukaryota, Metazoa, Chordata, Aves, Passeriformes, Estrildidae. The record is from RefSeq and is a predicted model, not a curated record.